RNAcentral lists this ribosomal RNA (492 nucleotides) under uncultured bacterium. RNAcentral describes it as "partial 16S ribosomal RNA". It matches the Rfam family "Bacterial small subunit ribosomal RNA", at positions 29 to 507 of the family's 1533-position model. The record is from RNAcentral.
AGUGAACGCUGGCGGUAGGCCUAACACAUGCAAGUCGAACGGCAGCACAGUAAGAGCUUGCUCUUACGGGUGGCGAGUGGCGGACGGGUGAGGAAUACAUCGGAAUCUACUUUUUCGUGGGGGAUAACGUAGGGAAACUUACGCUAAUACCGCAUACGACCUACGGGUGAAAGCAGGGGAUCUUCGGACCUUGCGCGAUUGAAUGAGCCGAUGUCGGAUUAGCUAGUUGGCGGGGUAAAGGCCCACCAAGGCGACGAUCCGUAGCUGGUCUGAGAGGAUGAUCGGCCACAUUGGAGCGUGGACACGGUCCAGACUCCUACGGGAGGCAGCAGUGGGGAAUAUUGGACAAUGGGCGCAAGCCUGAUCCAGCCAGACCGCGUGGGUGAAGAAGGCCUUCGGGUUGUAAAGCCCUUUUGUUGGGAAAGAAAAGCAGCAGGUUAAUACCCCGCUGUUCUGACGGUACCCAAAGAAUAAGCACCGGCUAACUUCGUG